GUUCGUUCAGUUCCUUCCGUGCCACCUCCGCUCGCCAGAUUCAGCUUUUUUUUUUAACCUCCAUAUGCCCGCAAGACACUGCACCAAUCCUGUCACAAGGCUGAUGUCGCCCAAAGCAAAGGUUGUGGCAUUGUGCGAUCGAGACCUCUGGUACAUAAUGAUGUGUUGUGUUAUCUUACACAACAUGAUAAUAGAGGAUGAGCGAGAAGAGGAUGAGGACUUUAACUACUACCAGGAGCCGGGCGGCCUCCCAGAGUUGGCACCCGAGGACUACCAAACACGUGAUCCGAUUCUGGUACAAGAGUUCCUCAAGAACCAUAAAGCAAUCGAGGAUAAAUCAGCGCACGAGCAACUACGAAACGAUCUUGUGGAGCAUCUUUGGGCAAUUCAUAGCUCCAAAUAGCGCAACAAUUAUGGUCAUCAGGGGCCUCUUCAGAAGAUCUGGGACCUGAACAAUGAGAUCUUCAGAAAUUGUCAUGCAUACUAUGGAAACAUGUGCUAUGGAAAGUGAAUUCAGUGAACAUUUGUUAGGCUAUUUAGAUUUCUUAGAUCAGUGUGUUUCAGUGAACAUGUGCUUCUGUAAUGAAUAUUUCUUACUCAAACAAGAAUGUUUCUUAGAUCAGUGUGUUUCAGUGAACA
Molecule: long non-coding RNA, 639 nt
Organism: Panicum virgatum (switchgrass)
Lineage: Eukaryota; Viridiplantae; Streptophyta; Magnoliopsida; Poales; Poaceae
Exons: 2
Source: RefSeq, a predicted model, not a curated record